Molecule: microRNA, 22 nt
Filed under: Mus musculus (house mouse)
Lineage: Eukaryota; Metazoa; Chordata; Mammalia; Rodentia; Muridae
Description: mmu-miR-92a-2-5p
Gene: mmu-miR-92a-2-5p
Source: miRBase by way of RNAcentral
AGGUGGGGAUUGGUGGCAUUAC